RNAcentral lists this ribosomal RNA (330 nucleotides) under uncultured Bacillota bacterium. Its description in RNAcentral is "bacterial SSU rRNA". It matches the Rfam family "Bacterial small subunit ribosomal RNA", at positions 28 to 351 of the family's 1533-position model. The record is from RNAcentral. Lineage: Bacteria; Bacillati; Bacillota.
GACGAACGCUGGCGGCGUGCUUAACACAUGCAAGUCGAACGGAAAUAGCGGAGUAUUUAUAUGAAGUUAUUUUAGUGGCGGACGGGUGAGUAACACGUGGGUAACCUGCCCUAUGGAGGGGGAUAACACAUAGAAAUGUGUGCUAAUACCGCAUAAUGUAGUACUACCGCAUGGUGGAACUAUCAAAGAUUUAUUACCAUAGGAUGGACCCGCGGCCCAUUAGCUAGUUGGUGAGGUAACGGCUCACCAAGGCGACGAUGGGUAGCCGGACUGAGAGGUCGAACGGCCACAUUGGAACUGAGACACGGUCCAGACACCUACGGGUGGCUG